RNAcentral lists this small nuclear RNA (107 nucleotides) under Dasypus novemcinctus (nine-banded armadillo). The record is from RNAcentral. Lineage: Eukaryota; Metazoa; Chordata; Mammalia; Cingulata; Dasypodidae.
GUGCUCGAUUUGGCAGCACAUAUGCUAAAAUUGGAACGAUACAGAGAAGAUUAGCAGGGCCCCUGCACAAUGAUGACAUGCAAAUUCGUGAAGUGUUCCAUACUUUU